Delphinapterus leucas (beluga whale) is the source of this 1975-nucleotide non-coding RNA. Lineage: Eukaryota; Metazoa; Chordata; Mammalia; Artiodactyla; Monodontidae. The record is from RefSeq and is a predicted model, not a curated record.
UCUGCGGGCGCGGGUGCUUCACUGGGAGGGCGGCGUGGGUGGUAAUGGGGGCUCUCGGGAGCUCCUGGAUGGGGCUCAGGACUCGAGGUGGGGGCAGAGUGCGUGGAUGACAGAACAAAUGGGGCCCCCUAAUAAGGGGGAGAAAGCAAGUUAUUUGGGGAAGACUCAGAGAAUCCUAAAGAGUAGAAUUCUGACAGCGGGUGAAGACGUGGUCCAGAGGACUCGUGGGGACAGACAGGUGUCGGAGUGUCGUGCGUAUGAGGGUGUUCUUGACAAAGUGAAGCAAGCAGGCAGUCGUUAGAGCGCGGCGACGGGCCCGUCACUUGCGUUCCCUGACAGCUUUGAUGGCUUCUAAUCAUCCUGCCCCUGCAGUUACCCCUCGGGAGCAAGCUGGUCCUCCAGCCGAGCCUUCCCAGCCCGCAGACUAAGUGAGGAAAUGAGAGCCAGGAUGUUCAACGUGCCUCUAAGACUCAUCAGAGCAAUUAGAAGUUUCCAGAAUCGCCUGGAGGAGAGAAGGCCAGCCAGGUGAAGUCAAGGCUGCAGCUGGGUCGAGGAGGGAGCGCUGCUGGUGAAAGAGAAAAAUCUAGGCAGUCCUGCAAUGCUGUCCAUCCUCCUGCAUGCCCAGAAGUGGAGUGGACUGGCAGACAUCCAUCAGCUUUAGGCUGCCUUCAGCGGAAGACGUGGGGAUUGAGCACCUUUCUGCUUUUUCAUCCAGGGCCACUGCAAGAGCAGUUACAUGGUACCGCGUUUGCCUCACGUCACCACCAGGAGGGUGCUGCCGCCAUGCCCUUCAGAGCUGGAGCCCCCCAGGCCGCUGGGCCAGGAGAUGCCACCGUCCGGAAGAUGUCGCUCAGACGCCACCUGACAAGGAUCUCCUCCUUGUCCUCCUUCCCUUAACUCCGCCUAUCCUUCGGCUUCACAGCUGCUGGCCUCCUGAGUGACGCAAAACAAAGACGAUCCUCGACCCUGUCACACGAAGACCCUUCCAACGCUUGAAGACGCGCCUUGGACCCUCCCAAAUCCUCUCAGGCUCAACCUCCUCGGUUUCGUGGACCUUCCUCGCGUCGCGCAGCGUGGCAGAGGCCGUCAGCUGAUCACAGAGCAGGUUUCUUCUGGCCUAACGACCAGACUGCACUUCCCAGCCUCUUUGGCAGCUUUGUGACCUUGGACAAGCCACUUAACUUCUCCAAGCUUCAGUGCCAAGUAUGUAAAGUCCGGAUAAUAACAGUCCUGGAGAAGAAGAUAAGGAUAGCGUGUGGAGCCCCAGCCCACAGCCUGACGCAGGGCAGGGCUCAGGAGACGGCAGCCUCUUGAUGCUUCUGGCUCUCCCUAAGUGGUGGGGGCAUUUGCGUGGAAGAGGAGACAGCUGUGAUGCUCCCUAAAGAGCUGCUCUCUACAGAAGGUCAAGCAAAGAGCAUGCAAGUGAGGAAGGAGGGAAAUGCCCCGGUGAGACGAGGCACAAGCCAAACAGGACUUGACUCCUGGAAACGCCCAGGUGUUUUCAGCAUUUGUGUAGGGAAUCUGGAUGCUUCCAGAAGAGGGAACGGAAGAGCAGGACGGAAGCUGGCGGAGUCGAUGAGGCAAUGUGUUACUUCACACCGGGCGUUUGAAGGUGGGGUGGCACCAGGUUUGUCCCGUGGGGUCUCUGCAUCCCCCUCAGCUGCACAUCCAAUCACAGUCUCCGGAGGACGGGGUUCUCUCUCAGGGUCUCUGCGUUGGGAGCCAGGAAACCGGCCCAGACUGGAUCACGUGCCCACUCCUAACCAAUCACUGCCACGGAGAUCAGCUUGGCCUUGGGCCAAUCAGGGUGUGGCCCGGCGCUGGGGGAGGGGUCCGUCCCGAGUAGUUUGUGGCGGCGGCCAGAGGGGCGCCCCGGGCCCACAGGGACUGCAGGCCCAACAGGAGUCGUUCAAAAGGAUCCAGAACUGAAGAUGCCUCCCUUUCACUGGAUCCGUGUGGAGCCCAGACCCGGGCG